CCUACGGGGUGCUGCAGUGGGGAAUAUUGCACAAUGGGGGAAACCCUGAUGCAGCGACGCCGCGUGAGUGAAGAAGUAUCUCGGUACGUAAAGCUCUAUCAGCAGGGAAGAAAAUGACGGGACCUGACUAAGAAGCCCCGGCUAACUACGUUCAAGCAGCCGCGGGAAUACGUAGGGGUCAAGCGUUAUCCGGAUUUACUGGGUGUAAAGGGAGCGUAGACGGCAGCACAAGUCUGGAGGGAAAUCCCGGGGCUUAACCCCGGAACUGCUUUGGAAACUGUGCGGCUGGAGUGCAGGAGGGGUAAGCGGAAGUCCUAGUGUAGCGGUGAAAUGCGUAGAUAUUAGGAGGAACACCGGUGGCGAAGGCGGCUUACUGGACUCUAACUGACGUUGAGGCUCGAAAGCGUGGGGAGCAAACAGGAUUAGAUACCCGAGUAGUC
RNAcentral lists this ribosomal RNA (440 nucleotides) under uncultured bacterium. RNAcentral describes it as "partial 16S ribosomal RNA". It matches the Rfam family "Bacterial small subunit ribosomal RNA", at positions 338 to 795 of the family's 1533-position model. The record is from RNAcentral.